UGGCUCUUUUUCACUUCAAAUUAGGCUUUUGAGAUACAUUAAUGUUGUUGAAUGUACUAGUAGUUCACACACAAGUUCAUGAAGCAUUCCAUAUUUUAUAAAUUUUUGAAUUAAAAUUGUUAAAAAAAUAAACUGAAUGUGUUCUCUGCCAUCUUCACCCAAAAUAUCUGUCCAGUGACCAUUUACUCAUCUUUCAAGACUCAGAAGUCAGCUGUGGUACCAAGCCUUUUCUGACCUUCCCAGGUAAAAUCAGUAUUUCUCAUACUCACUUUUUUGUUUGUUUAUUUAUUUUUUUGGAGACAGGGUUUUACUGUGUCACCCAGGCUGGAGGGCAGUAGCACAAUCAUAGCUCACUGAAGCUUUGUAUUUCUGGGCUCUAGUGAUC
This 385-nucleotide long non-coding RNA is filed under the name Homo sapiens (human). RNAcentral describes it as "non-protein coding lnc-CA8-10:1". Lineage: Eukaryota; Metazoa; Chordata; Mammalia; Primates; Hominidae. The record is from RNAcentral.